RNAcentral lists this ribosomal RNA (253 nucleotides) under uncultured bacterium. Its description in RNAcentral is "partial 16S ribosomal RNA". It matches the Rfam family "Bacterial small subunit ribosomal RNA", at positions 524 to 776 of the family's 1533-position model. The record is from RNAcentral.
UACGAAGGGGGCUAGCGUUGUUCGGAAUCACUGGGCGUAAAGGGCGCGUAGGCGGCCGAUCAAGUCGGGGGUGAAAGCCUGUGGCUUAACCACAGAAUGGCCUUCGAUACUGUUUGGCUUGAGACCGGAAGAGGUUAGUGGAACUGCGAGUGUAGAGGUGAAAUUCGUAGAUAUUCGCAAGAACACCAGUGGCGAAGGCGGCUGACUGGUCCGGUUCUGACGCUGAGGCGCGAAAGCCAGGGGAGCAAACGGG